RNAcentral lists this ribosomal RNA (478 nucleotides) under uncultured bacterium. RNAcentral's name for it is "partial 16S ribosomal RNA". It matches the Rfam family "Bacterial small subunit ribosomal RNA", at positions 28 to 523 of the family's 1533-position model. The record is from RNAcentral.
GACGAACGCUGGCGGCGUGCUUAACACAUGCAAGUCGAACGGUAAGGCCCUUCGGGGUACACGAGUGGCGAACGGGUGAGUAACACGUGGGUGAUCUGCCCUGCACUUCGGGAUAAGCCUGGGGAACUGGGUCUAAUACCGGAUAGGACUCCGGACUGCAUGGUCUGGGGUGGAAAGCUUUUGCGGUGUGGGAUGGGCCCGCGGCCUAUCAGCUUGUUGGUGGGGUGAUGGCCUACCAAGGCGACGACGGGUAGCCGGCCGGGGAGGGUGACCGGCCACACUGGGACUGAGAUACGGCCCAGACUCCUACGGGAGGCAGCAGUGGGGAAUAUUGCACAAUGGGCGCAAGCCUGAUGCGGCGACGCCGCGUGAGGGAUGACGGCCUUCGGGUUGUAAACCUCUUUCAGCAUCGACGAAGCGAAAGUGACGGUAGGUGCAGAAGAAGGACCGGCCAACUACGUGCCAGCCGCCGCCGUAA